UACGGAGGGUGCGAGCGUUGCCCGGAAUUACUGGGCGUAAAGCGUGCGUAGGUGGUUUGUUAAGUCUGUUGUGAAAGCCCCGGGCUCAACCUGGGAAUGGCAAUGGAUACUGGCAAGCUAGAGUGCGGUAGAGGGUAGUGGAAUUCCCGGUGUAGCGGUGAAAUGCGUAGAGAUCGGGAGGAACACCAGUGGCGAAGGCGGCUACCUGGACCAGCACUGACACUGAGGCACGAAAGCGUGGGGAGCAAACAGG
Molecule: ribosomal RNA, 253 nt
Filed under: uncultured bacterium
Lineage: Bacteria
Description: partial 16S ribosomal RNA
Rfam family: Bacterial small subunit ribosomal RNA
Source: RNAcentral